Mastomys coucha (southern multimammate mouse) is the source of this 456-nucleotide long non-coding RNA. RefSeq lists it as uncharacterized. The transcript has 3 exons. NCBI's taxonomy places the organism in Eukaryota, Metazoa, Chordata, Mammalia, Rodentia, Muridae. The record is from RefSeq and is a predicted model, not a curated record.
UAGGAGAAACAGGCAGGAGGAUCAGGAGGGAGGGAAAAAAAGAUAAGGUCCUAAGGAGAACAGAGGCUGGUGUCAGCAGGGAGAGAUGAGUCACAAACAUGGCUGUAUUGGUUGCUUUUCUAUGGUUGAGGUAAAAUAUCGUGAUCGUGAGAAGACAACACACAAAACCAGCAGCUAGUUGAGCUUAUGAGUGCUAAGACUCCACGUGGAAGGAGCAAAGGCAUGGUGGCAGUAACAGCUGAGAGCUCACAUCUUGAUCAGCAAGCGGGAAACAGAAACCACAUGGGAAACCUGAAGCUCCUCACCAGUGACACACCUCCUCCAAUAAAGUCACACUUCCUAGUCCUUUCUAAACAGAUUCAUUGACAGAGGACUUGAGAAUCCCAACCUAUGAGUCUGUUGGACAUAUUCUCACCCAGAUCACAAUAAAGACUGGCAGAAGCCAAUUACAAAAGC